GAUGAACGCUAGCGGCAGGCUUAACACAUGCAAGUCGAGGGGCAGCAUAGAUUGUAGCAAUACAAUUGGUGGCGACUGGCGCACGGGUGCGUAACGCGUAUGCAACCUACCCGUCACAGGGGGAUAAUCCGGAGAAAUCUGGUCUAAUACCCCAUAACAUAUGGAUCGGCAUCGGUUCAUGUUGAAAUUUUCGGAGGUGACGGAUGGGCAUGCGUAGCAUUAGCUUGUUGGUGAGGUAACGGCUCACCAAGGCGACGAUGCUUAGGGGGACUGAGAGGUUUUCCCCCCACACGGGUACUGAUACACGGACCAGACUCCUACGGGAGGCAGCAGUGAGGAAUAUUGGUCAAUGGGCGCAAGCCUGAACCAGCCAUGCCGCGUGCAGGAUGACGGCUCUAUGAGUUGUAAACUGCUUUUGUACGAGGGUAAAGUGGGUUACGUGUAACCUUUUGAAAGUAUCGUACGAAUAAGGAUCGGCUAACUCCGUGCCAGCCGCCGCAGUAA
This 504-nucleotide ribosomal RNA is filed under the name uncultured bacterium. RNAcentral describes it as "partial 16S ribosomal RNA". It matches the Rfam family "Bacterial small subunit ribosomal RNA", at positions 28 to 523 of the family's 1533-position model. The record is from RNAcentral.